Molecule: long non-coding RNA, 423 nt
Organism: Cervus elaphus (red deer)
Lineage: Eukaryota; Metazoa; Chordata; Mammalia; Artiodactyla; Cervidae
Exons: 3
Source: RefSeq, a predicted model, not a curated record
GCAAACAAUAUCAUAAUAAAAUUGUUGUGAAAAUAUUUAUCAUGAUAAUAUUUGCAUAUUCUGCUAUGAAAAAUAGGGCAAAUGGUCCUGCUGCAUAUUCUACGUUAAAGCCGGAAACUAGUUCUGAUUCACCUUCGGUGAGAUCAAAUGGGGCUCGGUUUGUUUCUGCUAGUGUUGAGAUAAAUCAUAUUAUUGCUAAGGGUCAUGCUGGAAAAAUAAGUCAUACUUGUUCUUGUGUAAUGAUUAAAGUGGAGAGUGUGAAUGACCUGUUUAUUAGGAGAACGGAUAGUAGGAUAAUUGCUAGUGUUACUUCAUAUGAAAUUGUUUGUGCUACUGCCCGUAGGGCCCCGAUUAGUGCAUAUUUAGAAUUAGAGGCUCAGCCCGAUCAGAGAAUAGAAUAUACGGCUAGGCUUGAUAUUGCUA